GCGGGCGUAGCUUAGUGGUAAAGCGUUGGCUUCCCAAGCCAAUGAUGAGGGUUCGAUUCCCUUCGCCCGCUCCA
This 74-nucleotide transfer RNA is filed under the name Alphaproteobacteria bacterium. Its description in RNAcentral is "tRNA-Gly". It matches the Rfam family "tRNA". From Rfam's summary of the family: Transfer RNA (tRNA) molecules are approximately 80 nucleotides in length. Their secondary structure includes four short double-helical elements and three loops (D, anti-codon, and T loops). Lineage: Bacteria; Pseudomonadati; Pseudomonadota; Alphaproteobacteria. The record is from RNAcentral.